Ornithodoros turicata is the source of this 694-nucleotide long non-coding RNA. RefSeq lists it as uncharacterized. The transcript has 3 exons. Lineage: Eukaryota; Metazoa; Arthropoda; Arachnida; Ixodida; Argasidae. The record is from RefSeq and is a predicted model, not a curated record.
GCAAAGCGCCGCAAAGUGAAUAGGGAAAGGGAAGUAGGGAGUUUAGGGAAAAGGGGAAAAUUUUCGUACCAAUGGGAGGAUGGCCCACUGGGCUGACUGCUGACGUUGAGGACCUCCUCUCCCUUACAUCACUCAUAUACGUGCCGUCGGUGCCGUCUCGUGUUAUCUGACCUACUGAGACCACCAACCGGCCAACGAUCGGAACUGACCACGCAAAACGAUGUUUCCUUUGGACAAGAAACAAGAACGGGCCGCGGCCUGGAGAAGGUGCGGGAGGUCUCGGAGAUGGAAACGCAGACUCCCAGUAAGGGACGCCUCCACUUUGGUGACACUCAGAGACGACAACGUUAUGGUCCUGCUAUCAUGGAGUGGAGACUGGUCGAGACAACCCAAGUGUGAACGGGAUAAAGAAGUUCCUCAGAUGUUCCAGGGAAUGGCAAUGAAAGACGUACCCCAGCUGCCUCCGUCGGGGGACGUCCUACCAGCGUGUGCGCUCUGCGGAACAGGUAUCGUGUCCCGUGCGAGGCACAACCAAAACGCUGGGCAUCCUAGCCCCGAUGACGUUGCCAGGGAGGGAAUCACCGUGCCUGCGAUGGAUGCGGGCCGACUUCCAAGCACAGCCACUUCCGAUGACGUUAUAGGAGAAUGAGUCACGAGAUCAUAGUAAUAAGAAAUUGAUAAUAAAAGUACAUAU